This 2920-nucleotide ribosomal RNA is filed under the name Staphylococcus haemolyticus. RNAcentral's name for it is "bacterial LSU rRNA". It matches the Rfam family "Bacterial large subunit ribosomal RNA". Lineage: Bacteria; Bacillati; Bacillota; Bacilli; Caryophanales; Staphylococcaceae. The record is from RNAcentral.
UUAAGUUAUUAAGGGCGCACGGUGGAUGCCUUGGCACUAGAAGCCGACGAAGGACGUUACUAACGACGAUAUGCUUUGGGUAGCUGUAAGUAAGCGUUGAUCCAGAGAUUUCCGAAUGGGGGAACCCAGCACGAGUUAUGUCGUGUUAUCGACAAGUGAAUUCAUAGCUUGUCAGAAGGCAGACCCGGAGAACUGAAACAUCUUAGUACCCGGAGGAAGAGAAAGAAAAAUCGAUUCCCUGAGUAGCGGCGAGCGAAACGGGAAGAGCCCAAACCAAUAAGCUUGCUUAUUGGGGUUGUAGGACACUCUAUACGGAGUUACAAAGGAAUAUAUUAGACGAAUCAUCUGGAAAGUUGAAUCAAAGAAGGUAAUAAUCCUGUAGUUGAAAAUAUAUUCUCUCUUGAGUGGAUCCUGAGUACGACGGAGCACGUGAAAUUCCGUCGGAAUCUGGGAGGACCAUCUCUUAAGGCUAAAUACUCUCUAGUGACCGAUAGUGAACCAGUACCGUGAGGGAAAGGUGAAAAGUACCCCGGAAGGGGAGUGAAAGAGAACUUGAAACCGUGUGCUUACAAGUAGUCAGAGCCCGUUAAUGGGUGAUGGCGUGCCUUUUGUAGAAUGAACCGGCGAGUUACGAUCUGAUGCAAGGUUAAGCAGGAAAUGUGGAGCCGUAGCGAAAGCAAGUCUGAAUAGGGCGUUGAGUAUUUGGUCGUAGACCCGAAACCAGGUGAUCUACCCAUGGUCAGGUUGAAGUUCAGGUAACACUGAAUGGAGGACCGAACCGACUUACGUUGAAAAGUGAGCGGAUGAACUGUGGGUAGCGGAGAAAUUCCAAUCGAACUUGGAGAUAGCUGGUUCUCUCCGAAAUAGCUUUAGGGCUAGCCUCAAGUGAUGAUUAUUGGAGGUAGAGCACUGUUUGGACGAGGGGCCCCUCUCGGGUUACCGAAUUCAGACAAACUCCGAAUGCCAAUUAAUUUAACUUGGGAGUCAGAACAUGGGUGAUAAGGUCCGUGUUCGAAAGGGAAACAGCCCAGACCACCAGCUAAGGUCCCAAAAUAUAUGUUAAGUGGAAAAGGAUGUGGCGUUGCCCAGACAACUAGGAUGUUGGCUUAGAAGCAGCCAUCAUUUAAAGAGUGCGUAAUAGCUCACUAGUCGAGUGACACUGCGCCGAAAAUGUACCGGGGCUAAACAUAUUACCGAAGCUGUGGAUUGUCCGUAGGACAAUGGUAGGAGAGCGUUCUAAGGGCGUUGAAGCAUGAUCGCAAGGACAUGUGGAGCGCUUAGAAGUGAGAAUGCCGGUGUGAGUAGCGAAAGACGGGUGAGAAUCCCGUCCACCGAUUGACUAAGGUUUCCAGAGGAAGGCUCGUCCGCUCUGGGUUAGUCGGGUCCUAAGCUGAGGCCGACAGGCGUAGGCGAUGGAUAACAGGUUGAUAUUCCUGUACCACCUAGCAUCGUUUUAAUCGAUGGGGGGACGCAGUAGGAUAGGCGAAGCGUACGAUUGGAUUGUACGUCCAAGCAGUGAGAUUGAGUGUUAGGCAAAUCCGGCACUCUUAAGAUUGAGCUGUGAUGGGGAGAGGAAAUUGUUUCCUCGAGUCGUUGAUUUCACACUGCCGAGAAAAGCCUCUAGAUAGAUAAUAGGUGCCCGUACCGCAAACCGACACAGGUAGUCAAGAUGAGAAUUCUAAGGUGAGCGAGCGAACUCUCGUUAAGGAACUCGGCAAAAUGACCCCGUAACUUCGGGAGAAGGGGUGCUCUUUAGGGUGCAAGCCCAGAAGAGCCGCAGUGAAUAGGCCCAAGCGACUGUUUAUCAAAAACACAGGUCUCUGCUAAACCGUAAGGUGAUGUAUAGGGGCUGACGCCUGCCCGGUGCUGGAAGGUUAAGAGGAGUAGUUAGCUUCUGCGAAGCUACGAAUCGAAGCCCCAGUAAACGGCGGCCGUAACUAUAACGGUCCUAAGGUAGCGAAAUUCCUUGUCGGGUAAGUUCCGACCCGCACGAAAGGCGUAACGAUUUGGGCACUGUCUCAACGAGAGACUCGGUGAAAUCAUAGUACCUGUGAAGAUGCAGGUUACCCGCGACAGGACGGAAAGACCCCGUGGAGCUUUACUGUAGCCUGAUAUUGAAAUUCGGCACAGCUUGUACAGGAUAGGUAGGAGCCUUUGAAACGUGAGCGCUAGCUUACGUGGAGGCGCUGGUGGGAUACUACCCUAGCUGUGUUGGCUUUCUAACCCGCACCACUUAUCGUGGUGGGAGACAGUGUCAGGCGGGCAGUUUGACUGGGGCGGUCGCCUCCUAAAAGGUAACGGAGGCGCUCAAAGGUUCCCUCAGAAUGGUUGGAAAUCAUUCAUAGAGUGUAAAGGCAUAAGGGAGCUUGACUGCGAGACCUACAAGUCGAGCAGGGUCGAAAGACGGACUUAGUGAUCCGGUGGUUCCGCAUGGAAGGGCCAUCGCUCAACGGAUAAAAGCUACCCCGGGGAUAACAGGCUUAUCUCCCCCAAGAGUUCACAUCGACGGGGAGGUUUGGCACCUCGAUGUCGGCUCAUCGCAUCCUGGGGCUGUAGUCGGUCCCAAGGGUUGGGCUGUUCGCCCAUUAAAGCGGUACGCGAGCUGGGUUCAGAACGUCGUGAGACAGUUCGGUCCCUAUCCGUCGUGGGCGUAGGAAAUUUGAGAGGAGCUGUCCUUAGUACGAGAGGACCGGGAUGGACAUACCUCUGGUGUACCAGUUGUCGUGCCAACGGCAUAGCUGGGUAGCUAUGUAUGGACGGGAUAAGUGCUGAAAGCAUCUAAGCAUGAAGCCCCCCUCAAGAUGAGAUUUCCCAACUUCGGUUAUAAGAUCCCUCAAAGAUGAUGAGGUUAAUAGGUUCGAGGUGGAAGCGUGGUGACACGUGGAGCUGACGAAUACUAAUCGAUCGAAGACUUAAUCAA